Molecule: small nucleolar RNA, 141 nt
Organism: Ornithorhynchus anatinus (platypus)
Lineage: Eukaryota; Metazoa; Chordata; Mammalia; Monotremata; Ornithorhynchidae
Source: RefSeq, a predicted model, not a curated record
CUCCUCUCAGGAUUGCACCUGGAGAGUUUCCAGUACUCUACCAGUCUCGACUAUGGGAGGGAGAGAGAUCAAACAGAGGUAUGACCAUUCCAUUCCCAGCUUGGCCAGUGGCUAGUGAGUGGAAGGCAAUCAGCCACAAGU